Molecule: transfer RNA, 68 nt
Filed under: Marmota monax (woodchuck)
Lineage: Eukaryota; Metazoa; Chordata; Mammalia; Rodentia; Sciuridae
Description: tRNA.Ala
Rfam family: tRNA (bases 5-65)
About the family: Transfer RNA (tRNA) molecules are approximately 80 nucleotides in length.
Source: RNAcentral
GGAUUGUGGCUUAAUGGUAGAGUGCUCACCUAGCACGUGCAAGGCCCUGAGUUCGAUCCUCAGCACCA